This is a long non-coding RNA of Rhodamnia argentea, 206 nucleotides long. RefSeq lists it as uncharacterized. The transcript has 3 exons. Lineage: Eukaryota; Viridiplantae; Streptophyta; Magnoliopsida; Myrtales; Myrtaceae. The record is from RefSeq and is a predicted model, not a curated record.
UUCCUUAAAAAAGGGCUUGCUUGACAGGUUCUGUACUUACCUCAAUUUCCAGUCUUACAUAAUUGCAAGAGAGGGGGAGUCGGUCGUAGAAGCUGACAUGAUGCUUCAGCCAAGAUGAAGAUGUAGAUCCAAAUGUGGUUCCACGUACAUUAGAAGGCGUUCACCAUCUGACUGAUCAAAAUGAAGAAGAGGGAUUUUGCCGAGGA